GAUGAACGCUGGCGGCGUGCCUAAUACAUGCAAGUCGAGCGAACAGACGAGGAGCUUGCUCCUCCGACGUUAGCGGCGGACGGGUGAGUAACACGUGGAUAACCUACCUAUAAGACUGGGAUAACUUCGGGAAACCGGAGCUAAUACCGGAUAAUAUAUUGAACCGCAUGGUUCAAUAGUGAAAGACGGUUUUGCUGUCACUUAUAGAUGGAUCCGCGCCGCAUUAGCUAGUUGGUAAGGUAACGGCUUACCAAGGCGACGAUGCGUAGCCGACCUGAGAGGGUGAUCGGCCACACUGGAACUGAGACACGGUCCAGACUCCUACGGGAGGCAGCAGUAGGGAAUCUUCCGCAAUGGGCGAAGGCCUGACGGAGCAACGCCGCGUGAGUGAUGAAGGUCUUCGGAUCGUAAAACUCUGUUAUUAGGGAAGAACAAAUGUGUAAGUAACUAUGCACGUCUUGACGGUACCUAAUCAGAAAGCCACGGCUAACUACGUG
RNAcentral lists this ribosomal RNA (497 nucleotides) under uncultured bacterium. RNAcentral describes it as "partial 16S ribosomal RNA". It matches the Rfam family "Bacterial small subunit ribosomal RNA", at positions 28 to 507 of the family's 1533-position model. The record is from RNAcentral.